GUCCACCGAACUAUCGGCAGGUGAUCCACGUUGGUCGCGCGAGGUGGUAUGGUUCCCAAAGGCCAGUUCUUGUGCUGCCUACCCCUUCAGGGGAAGCAGGCUACUUGAUGUAAGCCUUCAUCCGGCGCCUUUCAACGGGCACAGGAGGACAACGAAGCACCCCCCGCGUUCCACCGAGCCUUUGUCAGUCGCGUGGCGCGCGGGGACAUGAGAUGCUCUCGGACCCAGCAAACGCCGUGGGCGAGGACUCACGUCCCAGUCCCAAAAGAAGCUUCAAUAUAAUGCUGACGGCUGCUCCCACCCCCCGACCGCCCCGGCAACGAGGGGCGAGGCGCGGCGUCGCGGAGGAAUGCUACCU
This 358-nucleotide unclassified non-coding RNA is filed under the name Acacia doratoxylon (brown lancewood). RNAcentral's name for it is "partial external transcribed spacer". The record is from RNAcentral. Lineage: Eukaryota; Viridiplantae; Streptophyta; Magnoliopsida; Fabales; Fabaceae.